Mytilus trossulus (common blue mussel) is the source of this 281-nucleotide long non-coding RNA. RefSeq lists it as uncharacterized. The record is from RefSeq and is a predicted model, not a curated record. The transcript is spliced from 3 exons. NCBI's taxonomy places the organism in Eukaryota, Metazoa, Mollusca, Bivalvia, Mytilida, Mytilidae.
GCAAGUGAACACAUUACUAUCUGGUUUAAAUAUUCCUCCUGUGAGCCAUUGUAUGAUGUCAGCUAGGCAAAAGGAUGUUGGAGUUGCACUACAAGAAGUAGCAAAAGAAACAGUAGAUCAAGCCCUGUGUGAGGAAGUAGAGUUAACUAAAAGAAAUAAAGACCAAGAUAGUAUAACAGCUGCUGUAGAUGCGGGAUGGCAAAUGAGGGGCAGUGGAAGGUCUUAUAACAGUUUGUCUGGUCAUUGUUCUAUGAUAGGUACCGAAACUGGAAAAAUAGUUA